Molecule: transfer RNA, 361 nt
Filed under: uncultured Microcystis sp.
Lineage: Bacteria; Bacillati; Cyanobacteriota; Cyanophyceae; Chroococcales; Microcystaceae
Description: partial 16S-23S ribosomal RNA intergenic spacer
Rfam family: tRNA (bases 136-209)
Source: RNAcentral
AAAGGGAGACCUAAUUCAGGUAAAAGACGAAAAAAAAGUAGUCGCUACCAAGAAUCAAUCCCAAAAGGUCGGAGCGAGGCGAAAUUGGCUUUCAAACUAGGUUCUGGGUUCAAACAAGACCUGAAUCAGGAACAAGGGCUAUUAGCUCAGGUGGUUAGAGCGCACCCCUGAUAAGGGUGAGGUCCCUGGUUCGAGUCCAGGAUGGCCCACCUGCACAGGUGGCAAAAACAAGAGAAGCGAGGAAUCAGCACCUUAUCUUACUUAUAUAGUAAGAGAGAAUGCUGGCUCUAAGUAAAGAGUCCAGAGGAACCUUGAAAACUGCAUAGAGCUAGGUGAAAAAGCCAAAAAAGAAGACCGCAAG